CGGACGCCUUCUUGACGGAGACCUGCAGGCUGUUCGCAGAGAAGGCCAAGCCUGCCUGCGCGGGGACAGGCUCGAAGCCCCUGGGGGCCACAGCACAGGCUGGGCCUGGAGGCUGCAGCCUGAUGCCGCCGGUCUCCCGCUUCCAAGCUGGUGUCCUGUCGGCCAAGCGCCGUGACAGGAGGGGACAGCUGCUGCUCCCCACUUGAGCUAUAAAAAGCCCCAGCGCCCGAGUGAGCAGAGGACGCGCUGAGCGGAUACACGGACCUUGCUGGACUCCCGGAGUGCGGCUGGACCACCAUGCUCAGGUUGGCCUUGGCCCCCAGGCUGCUGCAGACGCCCCUGAGGGGCUGGGUGGUCCCCAGGGCACACGUCUCCGCCAAGCCGGCCAGGACGCCCACUUCUCCCAUGGAGCAAGCCAUCGGGCUAUCCGUGAUGUUCCUCAGCUUCCUGACCCCCGCGGGCUGGGUCCUGUUCCACCUGGAGAGCUACAAGACAGGCUCCACCAAAUGAAGGCCCUGCAGCUCAGGAUCCAGGCACUGGAUGAAAGAUCGCAUUAAACCUUCCCUCCACCUAG
Nyctereutes procyonoides (raccoon dog) is the source of this 574-nucleotide long non-coding RNA. RefSeq lists it as uncharacterized. The transcript is spliced from 2 exons. The record is from RefSeq and is a predicted model, not a curated record. Lineage: Eukaryota; Metazoa; Chordata; Mammalia; Carnivora; Canidae.